This 236-nucleotide ribosomal RNA is filed under the name uncultured bacterium. RNAcentral's name for it is "partial 16S ribosomal RNA". It matches the Rfam family "Bacterial small subunit ribosomal RNA", at positions 96 to 333 of the family's 1533-position model. The record is from RNAcentral.
CGGCGGACGGGUGAGUAACGCGUGGGUAACCUACCCUGUACACACGGAUAACAUACCGAAAGGUAUGCUAAUACGGGAUAAUAUAUUUGAGAGGCAUCUCUUGAAUAUCAAAGGUGAGCCAGUACAGGAUGGACCCGCGUCUGAUUAGCAGUUGGUAAGGUAACGGCUUACCAAGGCGACGAUCAGUAGCCGACCUGAGAGGGUGAUCGGCCACAUUGGAACUGAGACACGGUCCA